RNA transcript from Pongo pygmaeus (Bornean orangutan), 19659 nucleotides. It is a transcript of the gene named protein phosphatase 3 catalytic subunit gamma, with no coding region annotated. The transcript is spliced from 2 exons. Lineage: Eukaryota; Metazoa; Chordata; Mammalia; Primates; Hominidae. The record is from RefSeq and is a predicted model, not a curated record.
CAGAGUCUAGCGCUGCUGCCCAGGCUGGAGUAUAGUGGUGCAGUCAUAGCUCACUGCAGCCUGGAACUCCUGGGCCCAAGUGAUCUUUCCGCCUCCACCUUCACCUCCCAAGUAGCUGGAAUUACAGGCACAUGCCACUGUGCCCAGGCCACUUUAGUGAUUUGUUAUUUUUUUUAAUCUCUAUUCUCUUUUUAAUGUCGAGCUGCAAAUUUCUUACUUUUCUUUAGUGCAAUCCAUGUAUGAAAUAUGUGUUAUAAUUUGUAACUAACAAUAUUUGAAGUCCUGAAGUUUUUGAAUGAUUUUGUAUGUAAGAUUAGAGUGGAUUCAUGGUUUCCACUAAUAAGCACUUCAUUAUUAUCACUUUGUUAUGUGUGUGUGUGUUUAAAGAGAUAAACUUAUAGGUGGUUUAUCUAGAAUUGUGUAAAAUCCUUUCGUUUUCAUGAGAGAGUAUCUUGCAUGUAAAUAUUAUUUGUCACAUGUUAUGCCUACAAUGUUGGUUGGACUUAAACUUUAGUGACCUCUCAGAGAUUAUUUUCAUUCUAGUUCAUGUCACAUUACUUUGAUAUAUUUAUUAAGAAGAAGUACAAGAGAUUAUUUAAUGCUGUUGUCUGAAUGUUUGUGACCCCCCAGAAUUUGUAUGUUGAAAUCCUAAUCCCCGAUGUAAUGGUAUUAGGAGGUACGGUCUUGGGGAGGUAAAGUUUUUAUAAAUUUCUAAAAGAAAAUAUAGGAAAAAUCUUUGUGACUUUGGGGCAGACUGUUUUCUUAGAUAGGUCAUAGAAGGCAUGAACCAUAAAUGCUGAUAAUUGGACUUUUAAAAGAUUAAAAUCUUUUGUUCUUCUAAAGAUGUUUAAGAAAAUGAAAAGGCAAGCCACAGAAUGGGAGAAAAUAUCUAUACUGCAUUAGUGGAGUUUACUACUAAAUUAAGAAAACAUUAGAAGAUUGUCUAUAUAGUAUAACUGAUUAUAAAAUAAUGUACUUACAUAUUUAAAAUAUUAAGAUAUAUAUUGAUAUCUUAACAGUAGUUGUCUUAGAAUCUUGGUGAGAUUCUAAGAGUUGUUUUUGUGGUGGUUAUUGUUUUUUGUUUUGUGCUCUUUAUCUUUUAAAAAAUUGUUUUGCCUCAAGUAUGUAGUAUCUUUGAUUUAGAAAAAUCUUUAAAUAAAGAUAGGAUAGUUUGAAAGAUUAGCAGAAUGUUUGCAACCAAUACUUGAUACUACAUGGAUAAUACUUUGCUAUUCUAUUUUUGUAAAUUCUGUGCUUGAAAAUUUCAAAGAAUUUUUUGUGUGUGAGUGUGUGUUUUGAGGUGGAGUCUCGCUAUGUUGCCCAGGCUGGUCUCAAACUCCUGGCUUCAAGUGAUUUUCCCACCUUGGCCCCCUGCAGCAUUGAGAUAACAAGCAUAAGCCACCAUUCCCAGGCCGAAACUUUCGAAACUUUAAAAAAUAGCAUGAAAACCUUUAUUUUAGUCCAGGUGCAAUGGCUCACAUCUGUAAACCUGGCACUUUGGGAGGCUGAGGUAGGAGAACUCCUUGAAGCCAGGAGUUUGAGACCAGCCUGGGCAACAUGAUGACACCUGUCUCUACAGAAAAUUUAAAAAUUAGGUGUCACGGUGCAUGUCUGAAGUCCCAGCUACUCUGGAAGCUGAGGUGAGAGGAUUGCUUGAGGAGUUCGAGGCUACCGUGAAGCAUGAUCAAGCCACUGCACGCCAUCCAGCUUGAGUGACAGAGUGAGAGACCCUGUCUCUAAAAAUGAAAAAAGAAAAUCUUUACUUUAUUUAUUUAUUUUUUGAGAUAGAGUCUCGCUCAGUUGCCCAGGCUGGAGUGCAGUGGUGUGAUCUCGGCUCAAUGUAACCUCCGCCUCCUGGGUUUAAGUGAUUCUCCUGCCUCAGCCUCCCGAGUAGCUGGAACUACAGGCAUCUGCCACCACGCCCGGCUAAUUUUUGUAUUUUUAAUAGAAAUGGGAUUUCACCAUAUUGGCCAGGCUGGUCUCGAACUCCUGACCUUGUGAUCUGCCCACCUUGGCCUCCCAAAGUGCUAGGAUUACAGGCGUGAGCCACCGCGCUCGGCCGAAAAUCUUUACUUUAUUUACGGCACUUUAUGAGCCAUAUUUAGCAAACAUAGUUCCACAUAUGAAGUUUGUUUUUAAUGAUAAGGGGUUUUUAAACUUGAUUUUUAGUAUAAAUACACAGUAUAAUAAAAGUUUGUUUACAUUAGAUAUGAAGCUAAUUAUCACCCCUAACUGCUGGCUGGUUUUCUAGAAUUGUAGAAGCAGGUGGUGAAUUUUCCUGUCUGCUGAUAUCCAAAACACUCUGAUUCCUGGGUGAGUUCCAGCAGUAUUGGAUGAUGGUAAUAUUACUGUUGGUCGAUUAAUUUAUGAUAGUAUUAUAUGCAUCUCUAAAGUCUAAUUCUAUUUAUUUUUUGGGUAAAUAGUACAAUAACAUGGCAUAACAUUUUAAAGGGUAUGUGGUUAAAAAGUCUUCCUAUCCCUAACUGUCAGCCACCAGUUGCCUGCCAUGGGACUGUUAAAUCUCACCACCAAAGACCACCAAGAAAACAUCUGUAGUCAAAAAUAAGUUACACUGAUUAGCUUGCUGCAGGAAGGAAUAACAUACAUCAGAAGAGCUGUGGGACCUCUCAAAAGGAUAGAGUUAGGAAAGAGGACAUACGGGAUUUUAGGAGCUGUUAGUCACAGAGUGAUGUUAGGAUAAAGUUAGUAGUCUGGGCAGGGAUUGGCUAGAAUAUGUAAUUUGAGUGAGUUGCUGGAACAGCCAGUAGUUUUGCCUCUAGGACACAUAAGUCCCUGAGGAUUUACUGUUAGAUCAGUUUGUGGUACUAGAACAUAUGGGUAUGAGUGAGCUGAUAUUAAUAAAGGUUUGAGGCUGGGCACAGUGGCUCACACCUCUAAUCCCAGUGCAUUGGGAGGCUAGGACAGGAGGAUCGCUUGAGGCCAGGAGUUUGAGACUAGCCUGUUUAACUUAGUGAGACCUCAGUCUUUAAAAAUUUUGUUUUUAAUUAAAAUUAACUGGGUGUGGUGGCACACACCUGUAGUCUUAGCUACUUGGGAGGCUGAGGGGGAGGAUCACUUGAGCCCAAGAAUUGGAGACUGCAGUGGGCUAUGAUCAUGCCACUGCACCCCAGCCUGGGUGACAGAGGGAGACCCUGUCUCUUAUAAAGAAAAAAAAAAAGUUUGAGCUUAGAUGGCCUGUGAUGCACAGUACAUUGUGGUUUGCUUUGGUUCAGUUUAUCUGUUUUGCAAGUAUUAGUGCUUUUCUGCACAUCUGUGAGCAAUUCGUAGUGUAAUUUCAGUUUCGAUUUUUAAUCUCUGUUUCUGAUCAUUCGUCAGCUAAACUGGAACAUUUACCAUUUAGGGGAGGUGAUCAAUCAAGAUUUCAAACUGUUGUUUGAUGGGUUGUGAAUGUUUAUGAAGCUUUGAUGGUAGACAUUUUGGCCUCUACAGGCACCAGGCCAUUUUGUUCUUUUUUUUUUUUUGAGACGGAGUCUUGCUCUGUUGCCCAGGCUGGAGUGCAGUGGCACGAUCUCAGCUCACUGCAAGCUCCGCAUCCCGAGUUCACACUAUUCUCCUGCCUCAGCCUCCCGAGUAGCUGGGACUACAGGCACCCGCCACCAUGCCAGGCUAAUUUUUUGUAUUUUUAGUGGAGACGGGGUUUCACUGUGUUAGCCAGGAUGGCCUCGAUGUUCUUUUUCUUAGAUGAUAAUUUUUUGAAUCAGCUGGUGUGACAGUGGCUGCAUGGCAGCAUUUAAGACUCUAAAGAUCACACACUUGGCAUCUGCAACACACUGAAACUCAGACAAUUAUUAUUAAAGUUUAAAAUAAUGUCCCAUGUAUCCCAUAAUCUAUUUGGAUUUUCCUCUGGGCAACCAAAUAUUUUCUUUUCCUUUAAUUUGGAUGUGGGUCAUUCACCUUUGCAACUGUCCUAUAUUUGGUUUAUAUUUUGCCAAGGAUAAGGGUCUUGAUAGUGCUAACAGUAAGGAAAAGUUAUCUGUUAACAGCCUAAAAUCUUACAACAGUGGAGAGAGAAGAAAAUGCCAAGGAGAAUAAAGGACAAAAUCAUGCAAGUCUGUAGUCAUCAGUGGCUUCUGGCAUCUGGGAGGUUGUGUUCUGAUUAUCUUGGACAUAAAUAGUCUAUUCAUUUUAUCUUCUGCUUCUGGACCAUAACAGUUGUGGAAAUCCUGACUCAGCCACUGUUUGUCCAUGGCAAUGAUGUCGGCAGUAUGCAUCAUUAAUUUAUUCUCUGUAGUGUCAGUAAUGGGUGUAUGAUACAAACAUUUACAAAAGUUCUUUUGAUAAGUCUUCCACAAGGCUCAAUUCCUGUCUUUAGCUUAUAACCAGGAACUUUAGAUGAAUGUAAGGAAGAAGCAGAAGCCACCUGUGGAUCAUGAUGGGACUAUAGGCUUUAGUUGAUUUAUUAUAUUAACCAGCAUUAUCAGAAUGGAAGGGAGUGGAAUCUUCUAUUGCAGAAAGUACAUAAUGAGUUUUAUGAGUAGUCACUGAUUAUCCUAGAAGUAAGAAUAUCUCACAAACAGGGAGGACAUUGACAGUCUCUAGGACUUUCUUUCAUUUAUCCUAUAAAGUGUAUUAUGAGUUUCACCAAUCCAAGUUUACUCAAACCUAGAAAUAAAAUCCUUUUUUAGAUGGCUAUUGUGGCAGUCUUUGUACUUGAAUGUAUGUUUUCUUUUUUUUUUUUUUGAGACGAAGUUUCUUGUUUCCCAGGCUGGAGUGCAAUGGCGUGAUACCGGCUCACUGCAACUUCCGCCUCCUGGAUUCAAGCAAUUCUCCUGCCUCAGCCUCCCAAGUAGCUGGGGUUACAGGUGUCCACCAUCACACCCAGCUAAUUUUUUGUAUUUUUAGUAGAGACGGGGUUUCACCAUGUUGCUCAGACUGGUCUCGAACUCCUGACCUCAGGUGAUCGCCCACCUUGGCCUCCUAAUAUUUUCUUUAAACUGAAAGAUACUUAAAUGUUGAAGUAUAUUUAUUUUUACCACAUUUUAUUAUACAUGAUUAAAUUGGGAAGGCUUAACUUAUGAUUUGUGAGGUUUUUUUUUCCUUUUAACCCAAAUUUAAUAAAGCAAAGAGUUCUCACAAUAGUUUUGAGUUAAUUAAAAUUCAGAGUAUGCCAAACAAAGCUAAUAAUUUUUAUAAUCCUUUAAAAAAUUUUUAAUAAAAUAAAGGACUAAAGCUUUGUUUUACCUAAUGGCCAUUUAGUAUAAACCCAAAGAUGUUGUAGGUGUAAAAGACAUCUUAACAAUUUCUUAUUAUUUACUUAUUUUUAGAGACAGGGUCUCGCUCAGUUGUCUAGGCUGGAGUGCAGGGGCUCGAUCAUAGCUCACUCCAGCCCCAAUCUCCUGGGCUCAAGUGAUUUUCCUGCCUCAGCCUCCUGAGCAGCUGGGACUGUAGGUGUGCACCACCACACUCAACUAAUUUUUGUGUUUUUUUGGUAGAGACAGAGUUUCGCCAUGUUGCGCAGGCUGGUCUCGAACUCCUGAGCUCAAGCAAUCCACCCACCUCAGCCUCCCAGAGUGAUGAGAUUCUUUUUAUAGGUGUGAGCCAUCAUACCUGGCCUACUUUUUGCUUUUUGACUGAUGAUUCCAAGAGCCUUUUCAGUGUUUAGCACAUAGACAUAGAUAGUAGUAGUCUUACGUUUGAAUGAAGUGAGUUAUGCGUGGGCUGAGUUCACUCAAAGCUUGCCUCAGCUGGGAUUAUUGACCAUAUACCCACUUCACUGGAGAAUGAGUAUGCCAAGAGACCGAGGCAGAACCUGCAAAAUCACUUCUGCUGCAAUGUAUUUGUUAAAGCAGGUCACUAAGGCCAGUUCAGAUUCUAGGGGAGAGACAUUAGACUCUCCCUUUUUUUUUUUUGAGGCAAAGUCUCACUUUGUCACCUAGGCUGGAAUGCAGUGGUGCUAUCUUGGCUCACUGUAGCCUCGACUUCCUGGGCUCAAGUGAUCCUCCCACCUCAGCUGCCCAAGUAGCUGGGACUACAGGCAUGUGACACCACAUUUGGCUAAUUUUUGUUGUAUUUUUAGUAGAGAUGGGGUUUCAUCAUGUUGCCCAGGCUGGACUCAAACUCCUGAGCUCAAGCAGUCUGCCCGCCUCAGCCUGCCAGAAUGCUAGGAUUACAGGCAUGAGCCACUGGGCCUGGCCUUAGACUCUACUUCUUGAUAGGAUAGGUCAGGUCACUGCUAUGCUUUAAAUAUGACCCCUAGAAAGCAUAUGUUGGCUGCUUGGGUGAUGGGUACACUGGAAGCCCAAACCUUACCAUUAUGCAGUAUAUCCAUGUAAAAAACGUACACAUAUACCCGUUGAAUCUGAAAUUUAAAAAUAAAAUAAGUAUGUGUUAGAAAAUUUAUCCAAAAUGCAGUAGUGUUGGGAGGUGUGGCCUAAUGAGAGGUGUUUAGGUCAUGAAGGCCACAUCUCAUGAAUGCAUUAAUGUUGAUUAUAAAAGGGCUUAAGGCUGCAAGUUGUAUCUCUUGCUCUCUCUUAUCCCUCUUUGCCCUUCCACUAUGGAAUGAUGCAGCAAGAAGACCCAUGCCAGAUGCCUGGCCCCUCAAUCUUGAACUUCUUAGCCUCCAGAACUAUGAAUGAAUAAAUUUCUAUUCAUUAUAAAUUAUCCAGUCUAUGAUAUUUUGUCAUAGCAACACAAAACAGACCAAGACAGUGAGAUUACAGAGGAGUAUGUAGAGUGAGAAAUAUUAUUGUAGCCAUUUUUUUUUGUUUUUGCUUUUUAAAAAAAAUUAUUAUUUAAGUUCUAGGGUACAUGUGCACAAUGUGCAGGUUUGUUACAUAGGUAUACAUGUGCCAUGUUGGUUUGCUGCAUCCACCAACUUGUCAUUUACAUUAGGGAUUUCUCCUAAUGCUCUUCCUCCCCCAGCCCCCCAUCCUCCAACCAGCCCAUGUGUGAUGUUCCCCACCCUGUGUCCAUGUGAUCUCAUUGUUCAGUUCCCACCUAUGAGUGAGAACAUGUGGUGUUUGGUUUUCUGUCCUUGUGAUAGUUUCCUUAGAAUGAUGGUUUCCAGCUUCAUCCAUGUCCCUGCAAAGACACGAACUUAUCCUUUUUUAUGGCUGCGUAGUAUUCCAUGGUGUAUAUGUGCCACAUUUUCUUUAUCCAGUCUAUCAUUGAUAGAUAUUUGGGUUGGUUCCAAGUCUUUGCUGUUGUGAACAGUGCUGCAUUAAACAUACGUGCACGUGUGUCUUUAUAGUAGAAUGAUUUAUAAUCCUUUGAGUAUAUGCCCAGCAAUGGGAUUGCUGGGUCAAAUGGUAUUUCUAGUUCUCGAUCCUGGAGGAAUCACCACACUGUCUUCCACAAUGGUUGAACUAAUUUACACACCCACCAACAGUGUAAAAGCAUUCCUAUUUCUCCACAUCCUCUCCAGCAUCUGUUGUUUCCUGACUUUUUAAAGAUCACCAUUCUAACUGGCGUGAUAUGGUAUCUCAUUGUGGUUUUGAUUUGCAUUUCUCUGAUGACCAGUGAUGAGGAGCAUUUUUGCAUAUGUCUGUUGGCUGCAUAAAUGUCUUCUUUUGAGAAGUGUCUGUUCAUAUCCUUUUCCCACUUUUUGAUGGGGUUGUUUUUUUCUUUUAAAUUUAUUUAAGUUCUUUGUAGAUUCUGGAUAUUAGCCCUUUGUCAGAUGGGUAGAUUGCAAAAAUUUUCUCUGUUUUUGCUUUUUGAGAUGAAGUCUCACUCUGUUGUCCAGGCUGACGAUUGUAGCUGACUGCAGCCUCAACCUACUGGGUUCCAGAGAUCCUUCUGUGCCAGCCUCCUGAGUAGCUGGGACUACAGGCAGAUGCCACCACACCUGGCUAGUUUAAAAAAAAAUUUUUGUAGAGAUGGGGUCUCACCAUGCUGCCCAGGCUGGUUUCGAACUCUUGGCUUCAAGCAAUCUCCCCAACUUGGAUUCCCAAAGUGCUGGGAUUACAGGAGUGAGUCACCAUGACUGGCUGGUUGCAGCCAGUUUUGGAAAAUAAAAUGUGCUACAGACAUUGUAAGGGCAAAAUAUUUAACAAUAACUGAGAUUUCUAAAAAUUGAAGAUUGGCUAAAUAUUAAUAAAUUAUUAUGUAAGUAAAUUAUGUCUACCUAGGAUAAAAUAAAAAAUUUUUUAUGGUAUUUUAAGGUAUUUAUUUAUGUACUUAUGCAUUGAGAUAUUUGUCAUCAAAAUUUUUUACUAGUGCAUAUAAGUACCUAACACAUAGUAGCAAUUCAAUAAAAUUAUUUGAAUGAAUUAAUUGAGGAUACUUUUCAAUCAUUCGUAGUUUUUAUGGUGAGAGUUUUCAUUUUGUUCUGUCUUAUUUUUAUGUGUAUUUUAGUUAGAUGUUCGAUUAGUCUAUUCAAGAUGUGUUUUUUGUUUGUUUGUUUGUUUUGAGACAAGAGUGUUGCUCUGUCACCCAGGUUGGAGUUCAGUGGUGCAAUCUCCACUUCCUGGGUUCAAACGAUUCUCCUGCCUCAGCCUCCUGAGGCAAGCACGCGCCACCACGCCCGGCUAAUUUUUGUAUUUUUAGUAGAGAUAGGGUUUCACCAUGUUGGUCAGGCUGGUUUUGAACUCGACCUUAUGAUCCACCUGUGUUGGCCUCCCAAUGUUCUGGGAUUACAGGUGUGAGCCACCGUGCGCAGCCUGUUCAAGAUGUUAUAACAAAAUGCCUUAGACUGGGUAAUUUGUGAACAACAGAAAUUUAUUUGUUACAGUCCUAGAGGCUGGGAAGUCCAAGAGUCAGGUUGCCAGCAGAUUCUGUGUCUGGUGAGGGCCUGUUCCUUAUAGGUGGCAUGUUCUAUGUGUCCUCACGUGGCAGAAGGGACAAACAAGCUCCUUUGGACCUCUUUUAUAAUGGCACAAAUCCCAUUCAUGAGGGCAGAGUCCUUAUGACCUAAUAAUUUCCCAGAUAUUCCACUUCUUAAUACCACCAUGUUGGGGAUUAGGUUUUACCUAUGAAUUUUUGGAACAUUCGAAUCAUAGCAGCUGUUAAGAAACGUUGAAUCAGAAGUUUCUAGUCAUUCUUUUUUUUUGUUUUUUUGAGGCAGAGUCUUGCUCUGUCGCCCAGGCUGGAGUGCAGUGGCGCGAUCUCGGCUCACUGCAACCUCUGCCUCCUGGGUUCACGUGAUUCCCGUCUCAGCCUCCCAAGUAGCCGGGAUUACAGGUGCCCGCUACCACGCCCAGCUAACUUUUGUAUUUUUCGUAGAGACAGAAUGUCACCAUGUUGGCCAGGCUGGUCUCAAACUCCUGACCUCAGGUGAUCUGCCCGCCUUGGCCUUCCAAAGUGCUGUGAUUACAGGCGUGAGCCACUGCGCCUGGCCAGAAGUUGCUAGUCAUUCUAAACUGGAAGCUUGACAUAUAUUUUGAAUCAAGCAUUUAAAAAAUGUCUGCUUUUCAUAAAUAGUUUAUUUUUACAUUUUUAUCCCUUUCAUUUAGGAAAGAAGAUUCAUGAGUUUUUUUUUUUUUUUAAACAGCUGGCAAAUUAGAGAAAAUAUUUAUACAGCUUCUAAUAGGCAUCUCAAAUUAUUUUGAAACAUUUGGGAAUAUAUCUUCUGUAAUGUUUUGCUUGUAAUAAUUGAAUAGAUAUUCUUAUUUGGUAAUAACUUGGAAAAUACAAAGUGGCCCACUUAAAAUGGACUCUGAUUUAAAGAUACUGUUGGAGGCAUUGGUGACCGGCCAUUUUUCCUUUUAAAUAGAGAAAGUAUGACAGAAUCUAUUUUCAAGAAACAGCCAUAGCAAUAUUUUUAGUCUCAUAUGCUCACACAGAAUUUUGUCACUCCCCACCAGUAGGUGGAAUCUAUUUCCACGCUUCUUGAACCUGGGCAGGCUUGUGACUGUUCAACCAAUUGAAUAUGGUGGAAAUUAAGUGAUGUGAUUUCUGAGGCCAUGAUAUAAAUAGGAUACAACUGAUCCAGCAAUCCCACUACUGAGUAUCUACCCAAAGGAAAAUAAAUCAACAUGUUUAUUGCAGUACUAUUCACAACAGCAAAGAUACGGAAUCAGCAUUGAGUAUCUAUUAGUGGAUGAAUGAAUAAAGAAAAUAUGGUAUAUAUACACAAUGGAAUAUUGUUCAGCCAUAAAAAACAAAACAAAAUAAUGUCACUUGCAGCAACAUGGAUGGAACUGGAGGUCAUUAUCUUAAGUUAAAUAAGCUAGGCAGAAAAAGACAAAUAUAUAUUGGGGGGAGGAGCCAAGAUGGCCGAAUAGGAACAGCUCCGGUCUACAGCUCCCAGCGCGAGCCACGCAGAAGACGGGUGAUUUCUGCAUUUCCAUCUGAGGUACCGUGUUCAUCUCACUAGGGAGUGCCAGACAGUGGGCGCAGGUCAGUGGGUGGGCGCACCGUGAGCCAGCCGAAGCAGGGGCGAGGCAUUGCCUCACUCGGGAAGCGCAAGGGGUCAGGGAGUUCCCCUUCCAGGGGUGACAGACGGCACCUGGAAAAUCGGGCCACUCCCACCCGAAUACUGUGCUUUUCCGACGGGCUUAGGAAACGGUGCCCCAGGAGAGUAUAGCCCGCACCUGGCUCAGAGGGUCCUACGCCCACGGAGUCUCGCUGAUUGCUAGCACAGCAGUCUGAGAUCAAACAGCAAGUCGGCAGCGAGGCUGGGGGAGGGGCGCCCGCCAUUGCCCAGGCUCGCUUAGGUAAACAAAGCAGCCUGGAAGCUUGAACUGGGUGGAGCCCACUACAGCUCAAGGAGGCCUGCCUGCCUCUGUAGGCUCUACCUCUGGGGGCAGGGCACAGACAAACAAAAAGACAGCAGUAACCUCUGCAGACUUAAAUGUCCCUGUCUGACAGCUGUGAGGAGAGCAGUGGUUCUCCCAGCACGCAGCUGGAGAUCUGAGAACGGGCUGACUGCCUCCUCAAGUGGGUCCCUGACCCCUGACCCCCGAGCAGCCUAACUGGGAGGCACCCCCCAGCAGGGGCAGACUGACACCUCACACGGCCUGCCAGGUACUCCAACAGACCUGCAGCUGAGGGUUGUGUCUGUUAGAAGGAAAACUAACAGAAAGGACAUCCACACCAAAAACCCAUCUGUACAUCACCAUCAUCAAAGACCAAAAGUAGAUAAAACCACAAAGAUGGGGAAAAAACAGAGCAGAAAAACUGGAAACUCUAAAAACCAGAGUACCUCUCCUCCUCCAAAGGAACGCAGUUCCUCACCAGCAACGGAACAAAGCUGGACGGAGAAUGACUUUGACGAGCUGAGAGAAGAAGGCUUCAGACGAUCAAAUUACUCCGAGCUACGGGAGGAUAUUCAAACCAAAGGCAAAGAAGUUGAAAACUUUGAAAAAAAUUUAGAAGAAUGUAUAACUAGAAUAACCAAUACAGAGAAGUGCUUAAAGGAGCUGAUGGAGCUGAAAACCAAGGCUCGAGAACUACGUGAAGAAUGCAGAAGCCUCAGGAGCCGAUGCGAUCAAAUGGAAGAAAGGGUAUCAGCCCUGGAAGAUGAAAUGAAUGAAAUGAAGCGAGAAGGGAAGUUUAGAGAAAAAAGAAUAAAAAGAAAUGAGCAAAGCCUCCAAGAAAUGUGGGACUAUGUGAAAAGACCAAAUCUACGUCUGAUUGGUGUACCUGAAAGUGAUGGGGAGAAUGGAACCAAGUUGGAAAACACUCUGCAGGAUAUUAUCCAGGAGAACUUCCCCAAUCUAGCAAGGCAGGCCAACAUUCAGAUUCAGGAAAUACAGAGAACGCCACAAAGAUACUCCUCGAGAAGAGCAACUCCAAGACACAUAAUUGUCAGAUUCACCAAAGUUGAAAUGAAGGAAAAAAUGUUAAGGGCAGCCAGAGAGAAAGGACGGGUUACCAUCAAAGGGAAGCCCAUCAGACUAACAGCGGAUCUCUCGGCAGAAACCCUACAAGCCAGAAGAGAGUGGGGGCCAAUAUUCAACAUUCUUAAAGAAAAGAAUUUUCAACCCAGAAUUUCAUAUCCUGCCAAACUAAGCUUCAUAAGUGAAGGAGAAAUAAAAUACUUUACAGACAAGCAAAUGCUGAGAGAUUUUGUCACCACCAGGCCUGCCCUAAAAGAGCUCCUGAAGGAAGCGCUAAACAUGGAAAGGCACAACCGGUACCAGCCACUGCAAAAUCAUACCGAAAUGUAAAGACCAUGGAGACUAGGAAGAGACUGCAUCAACUAACGAGCAAAAUAUCCAGCUAACAUCAUAAUGACAGGAUCAAAUUCACACAUAACAAUAUUAACUUUAAAUGUAAAUGGACUAAAUGCUCCAAUUAAAAGACACAGACUGGCAAAUUGGAUAAAGACUCAAGACCCAUCAGUGUGCUGUAUUCAGGAAACCCAUCUCACGUGCAGAGACACACAUAGGCUCAAAAUAAAAGGAUGGAGGAAGAUCUACCAAGCAAAUGGAAAACAAAAAAAGGCAGGGGUUGCAAUCCUAGUCUCUGAUAAAACAGACUUUAAACCAACAAAGAUCAAAAGAGACAAAGAAGGCUAUUACAUAAUGGUAAAGGGAUUAAUUCAACAAGAAGAGCUAACUAUCCUAAAUAUAUAUGCACCCAAUACAGGAGCACCCAGAUUCAUAAAGCAAGUCCUGAGUGACCUACAAAGAGACUUAGACUCCCACACAUUAAUAAUGGGAGACUUUAACACCCCACUGUCAACAUUAGACAGAUCAACGAGACAGAAAGUCAACAAGGAUACCCAGGAAUUGAACUCAGCUCUGCACCAAGCGGACCUAAUAGACAUCUACAGAACUCUCCACCCCAAAUCAACAGAAUAUACAUUUUUUUCAGCACCACACCACACCUAUUCCAAAAUUGACCAUAUACUUGGAAGUAAAGCUCUCCUCAAUAAAUGUAAAAGAACAGAAAUUGUAACAAACUGUCUCUCAGAUCACAGUGCAAUCAAGCUAGAACUCAGGAUUAAGAAUCUCACUCAAAACCGCUCAACUACAUGGAAACUGAACAACCUGCUCCUGAAUGACUACUGGGUACAUAACGAAAUGAAGGCAGAAAUAAAGAUGUUCUUUGAAACCAACGAGAACCAAGACACAACAUACCAGAAUCUCUGGGAUGCAUUCAAAGCAGUGUGUAGAGGGAAAUUUAUAGCACUAAAUGCCCACAAGAGAAAGCAGGAAAGAUCCAAAAUUGACACCCUAACAUCACAAUUUAAAGAACUAGAAAAGCAAGAGCAAACACAUUCAAAAGCUAGCAGAAGGCAAGAAAUAACUAAAAUCAGAGCAGAACUGAAGGAAAUAGAGACACAAAAAACCCUUCAAAAAAUAAAUGAAUCCAGGAGCUGGUUUUUUGAAAGGAUCAACAAAAUUGAUAGACCGCUAGCAAGAUUAAUAAAGAAAAAAAGAGAGAAGAAUCAAAUAGAUGCAAUAAAAAAUGAUAAAGGGGAUAUCACCACCGAUCCCACAGAAAUACAAACUACCAUCAGAGAAUAUUACAAACACCUCUAUGCAAAUAAACUAGAAAAUCUAGAAGACAUGGAUAAAUUCCUCAACACAUACACCCUCCCAAGACUAAACCAAGAAGAAGUUGAAUCUCUGAAUAGACCAAUAACAGGAGCUGAAAUUGUGGCAAUAAUCAAUAGCUUACCAACCAAAAAAAGUCCAGGACCAGAUGGGUUCACAGCCGAAUUCUACCAGAGGUACAAGGAGGAGCUGGUACCAUUCCUUCUGAAACUCUUCCAAUCAAUAGAAAAAGAGGGAAUCCUCCCUAACUCAUUUUAUGAGGCCAGCAUCAUCCUGAUACCAAAGCCUGGCAGAGACACAACAAAAAAAGAGAAUUUUAGACCAAUAUCCUUGAUGAACAUUGAUGCAAAAAUCCUCAAUAAAAUACUGGCAAACAGAAUCCAGCAGCACAUCAAAAAGCUUAUCCACCAUGAUCAAGUGGGCUUCAUCCCUGGGAUGCAAGGCUGGUUCAAUAUACGCAAAUCAAUAAAUGUAAUCCAGCAUAUAAACAGAACCAAAGACAAAAACCACAUGAUUAUCUCAAUAGAUGCAGAAAAGGCCUUUGACAAAAUUCAACAACCCUUCAUGCUAAAAGCUCUCAAUAAAUUAGGAAUUGAUGGGACGUAUCUCAAAAUAAUAAGAGCUAUUUAUGACAAACCCACAGCCAAUAUCAUACUGAAUGGGCAAAAACUGGAAGCAUUCCCUUUGAAAACUGGCACAAGACAGGGAUGCCCUCUCUCACCACUUCUAUUCAACAUAGUGUUGGAAGUUCUGGCCAGGGCAAUUAGGCAGGAGAAGGAAAUCAAGGGUAUUCAAUUAGGAAAAGAGGAAGUCAAAUUGUCCCUGUUUGCAGAUGACAUGAUAGUAUAUCUAGAAAACCCCAUUGUCUCAGCCCAAAAUCUCCUUAAGCUGAUAAGCAACUUCAGCAAAGUCUCAGGAUACAAAAUCAAUGUGCAAAAAUCACAAGCAUUCUUAUACAUCAAUAACAGACAAACAGAGAGCCAAAUCAUGAGUGAACUCCCAUUCACAAUUGCUUCAAAGAGAAUAAAAUACCUAGGAAUCCAACUUACAAGGGAUGUGAAAGACCUCUUCAAGGAGAACUACAAACCACUGCUCAAGGAAAUAAAAGAGGAUACAAACAAAUGGAAGAACAUUCCAUGCUCAUGGGUAGGAAGAAUCAAUAUCAUGAAAAUGGCCAUACUGCCCAAGGUAAUUUAUAGAUUCAAUGCCAUCCCCAUCAAGCUACCAAUGACUUUCUUCACAGAAUUGGAAAAAACUACUUUAAAGUUCAUAUGGAACCAAAAAAGAGCCCGCAUCGCCAAGUCAAUCCUAAGCCAAAAGAACAAAGCUGGAGGCAUCACGCUACCUGACUUCAAACUAUACUAUAAGGCUACAGUAACCAAAACAGCAUGGUACUGGUACCAAAACAGAGAUAUAGAUCAAUGGAACAGAACAGAGCCGUCAGAAAUAAUGCCACAUAUCUACAACCAUCUGAUCUUUGACAAACCUGAGAAAAACAAGAAAUGGGGAAAGGAUUCCCUAUUUAAUAAAUGGUGCUGGGAAAACUGGCUAGCCGUAUGUAGAAAGCUGAAACUGGAUCCCUUCCUUACACCUUAUACAAAAAUCAAUUCAAGAUGGAUUAAAGACUUAAAUGUUAGACCUAAAACCAUAAAAACCCUAGAAGAAAACCUAGGCAAUACCAUUCAGGACAUAGGCAUGGGCAAGGACUUCAUGUCUAAAACACCAAAAGCAAUGGCAACAAAAGCCAAAAUUGACAAAUGGGAUCUAAUUAAACUAAAGAGCUUCUGCACAGCAAAGGAAACUACCAUCAGAGUGAACAGGCAACCUACAAAAUGGGAGAAAAUUUUCGCAACCUACUCAUCUGACAAAGGGCUAAUAUCCAGAAUCUACAAUGAACUCCAACAAAUUUACAAGAAAAAAACAAACAACCCCAUCAAAAAGUGGGCGAAGGACAUGAACAGACACUUCUCAAAAGAAGACAUUUAUGCAGCCAAAAAACACAUGAAAAAAUGCUCACCAUCACUGGCCAUCAGAGAAAUGCAAAUCAAAACCACAAUGAGAUACCAUCUCACACCAGUUAGAAUGGCCAUCAUUAAAAAGUCAGGAAACAACAGAUGCUGGAGAGGAUGUGGAGAAAUAGGAACACUUUUACACUGUUGGUGGGACUGUAAACUAGUUCAACCCUUGUGGAAGUCAGUGUGGCGAUUCCUCAGGGAUCUAGAACUAGAAAUUCCAUUUGACCCAGCCAUCCCAUUACUGGGUAUAUACCCAAAGGACUAUAAAUCAUGCUGCUAUAAAGACACAUGCACACGUAUGUUUAUUGCCGCAUUAUUCACAAUAGCAAAGACUUGGAACCAACCCAAAUGUCCAACAAUGAUAGACUGGAUUAAGAAAAUGUGGCACAUAUACACCAUGGAAUACUAUGCAGCCAUAAAAAAUGAUGAGUUCAUGUCCUUUGUAGGGACAUGGAUGAAAUUGGAAAUCAUCAUUCUCAGUAAACUAUCGCAAGAACAAAAAACCAAACACCGCAUAUUCUCACUCAUAGGUGGGAAUUGAACAAUGAGAACACAUGGACACAGGAAGGGGAACAUCACACUUCGGGGACUGUUGUGGGUUGGGGGGAGGGGGGAGGGAUAGCACUGGGAGAUAUACCUAAUGCUAGAUGACAAGUUGGUGGGUGCAGCGCACCAGCAUGGCACAUGUAUACAUAUGUAACUUACCUGCACAUUGGGCACAUGUACCAUAAAACCUAAAGUAUAAUAAUAAUAAUAAUAAUAAUAAAAAAAAAAGAAAAAGACAAAUAUAUAUUCUCACUUAUAUGUGGGAGCUAAAAAUUUGAACACAUGGAGGUAGAGAAUGGAAAAUAGAUAAUAGAGACUGGGAAGGGUGAGUGGGGGAAAGGGGAAGGAUAAAGAGAAGUGAGUUAAAGGGUACAAACAUACAUUAAGAUAGGAGUAGGUUCAAUGUUUGAUAGCAGAGCAGGAUGACUAUACCUAACAAAAAUGUAUUGUACCCAGUGAUGAACAUCCUGAAGACCCUGGGUUGAUACUAUGCAUGAUAUACAUGUAACAUAAUUCCUCAUGUAAUCUGUAAAUUUGCACAAAUAAAAAGAGGAAAAAAAAAGAUACAGCUUCUUCCUGGCUCUCUCUUUGUCUUGGGAUGCUUGUCAUUGGAACUAAGUCAUACGAAGAGGCCACAUGUGGGUAUUCUCUUCAAAAACCUGAGCUAAGCUGCAGCCAACAGCCAGUAUUAACCACGGUAUGAGUGAGAAAGCUUUCAGGUAAUUUCAGCCCCAGGCUGUCGAGUGUCCUGGUGAGGCCCCAGAAGUUGCGGAGCAGAGACAAGCCAGCCCCGCUGUGCCCUGUCUGAAUUUAUGGUCCACAGAACCUGUGAUAGAUAAUAAAUGAUUAUUGCCUUAAGCCACUAAGUUUUGGAGUAAUUUGUUACAUGGCAGUAGAUAAUUAAUACAUAUAAUUUCUAGAAACUUAUAGGCAAGUAAAGAUUUGUUCAAAGAUAUAUAUAUAUAUAAAUGAUACAUAAAUGAUCCAUGUAUAUGUAUAUAUGAUAUGGGUGAUAUAUAUAAAAUAUGGGUGAUACAUAUAUACACACACACACACACACACACACAUAUAUAGAUGUUCUCUGCUGUAUCAUUUAUUUAUGUUUUCUUUUUUUUAGAGGCAGAGUCUCACUCUGUCACCCAGGCUGGAGUACAGUGGCUCAGUCGUAGGUCACUGCAGCCUUGAACUCCUGGGCUCAAGCGAUCCUCCUGUCCCAGCCUCCCAAAACACUGGGAUUACAGGUGUGAGCCAGGAUGCCUGACCCUGCAGUAUAAUUUACAAUUUUUUGAAAUAGUCUAGCUAUCCAACAAUAAGAAAAUGUUUAAAUAAAUUAUCAUAAGCACACUAUUUUCCUAAAUAAAAUUUCUACAUUUUCUAUAUUCAAAAACAAAGUUUAAAGAAUUGGUAUAUAGUCAAUUAUGUUAUAAUGAUAAACCUAAUUGAAUUAUUUAUUUACAUAAAUAAAGAUGAUUAAGAACAAAAAAGCCUUUACAUCUGAUAAAGGAUAUGUACCCAGAACAUACAAGAACUUUCAUCAGUCAAUAAGAAAAGAUACUAAAUGUUUUAAAUGGACAAAAGAAUUGAAUAAGCAUGUCCCCAAAGAAGAUAUUAAAAUGGCCAUUAAGCAAGUAGAAAGGUCCUCAACAUCACUACUCAUCAGGGAAAUGCAAAGUAGAAAACAAAGAGAUACCAGUAGACGUUCACUGUAAUGGAAUAAAAUUUAGCAGAUGAGCAAUAUCGAGUGUUGACAAGGUUGUGAAGUAGCUGGAACCCUUAUACCUUGAUGGUGUGAGGGUAAAAUGGUAUCACUUUGUGAAUUGUUGGGUAAAACCAAUGUUGACCCCAUAAACUUUCAGUCCCAUUCCUGGGUAUAUACCUAAGAGAAAAGAGUGCUUAUGUCCACCAAAGCACACAUAGAAUUUUAUUCAUAGCAACUGUAUUCAUAAUGGCUCAAAUUGGAAAGCUGCUCUAGUCAUACACUGUGCUGCCCUUACCUUUAUUAACGCAGUAGUGCUUAGCAUGUAGCUACCGGUGUUUAGUUUAAUAUGCGUUGUUAAUGAAAAUUUAUUUAGGGGAUUUCACCCCCCAAUUUUUUAACUUUAAAACUAUGGUUUCAAAUUUCUUAAAACCUUUAUCUUUAUAUCAGUUUGGUUUUGGAAGACUAAAAGAAAGAACUUGUUGCACAGAUGGCCCAAAGCACAGAUUAUUAAAAUGCUUUUAUCUACAUCCAGCUCCAAAUAUUCCCUUACUCCUUGAUCAUUCUUUUUUUUUUUGGAAACUGAGUCUCUGUCGCCUAGGCUGGAGUGAUAGAUGUAUAUAUGGUCCCCUAUUCUAAGGUAGUACAGUCAUGCAUCCGAGAAAUGUGUCAUGAGAUGACUUUGUCAUUGUGAGAACACCAUGGAGUGUACUUACAGAAACCUAGAUGUUGUAACUACUAUACACCUAGAUGGUAUAACUACUACUAUACAUAGCCUAUGUGGUACAGCCUAUUACUUCUAUGCCACAAACCUGUACAGCAGGUUACUGUACUGAAUACUGUAGGCAGUUAUAACAGUGCUAAGUAUUUAAGUAUCUAAACAUAGAGAAGGUACAAUAAAAACAUAGUAUAAAAGGUAAAAACUGGUACACCUGUAUAGGGCACUUAACCAUGAAUGGGGCUUACAGGACUGGAAGUUGCUCUGGGUGAGUUGGAGGUGAGUGAUGAGUGAAUGUGAGGGCCUAGGAUGUUAUUGUACACUACUGGAUACUUUAUAAACUUUAUAAACACUGAACACUUAGGCUACACUAAAUUUAAAAAAAAAUUUUCUUGGCUGGGCAUGGUGGCUCAUGCCUGUAAUCCCAGCACUUUGGGAGGCUGAGGUUGGCAGAUCACUUGAGUCCAGGAGUUCAAGACCAGCCUGGGGAGCAUGGCAAAACCCCAUCUCUACAAAAAAUACAAAAAUUAGCCAGGCAUGGUGGCGCACACCUGUGGUCCCAGCUGAGGACUGGGAGGCUGAGGUGAGAAGAUCAUUUGAGCCAGGAGGUUGAAGGUGCAGUGAGCCAUGGUAGUGCCAUUGCACUCCUGCCUGGGCAAUAGAGCGAGAUCCUAUCUCAAAAACAAACAAAUUUUCUUUCUUCAAUAAUAAAUUAAACUUAGCUUACUGUUAAGUUUUUACUUUAUAAACGUUUCAAUUUUUAAAAACUUUUGGACUUUUUUGUAAUAACACCUAGCUUAAAACACAAGUACAUUGUAUAGCUAUAGAAAAUAAUUUUUCUUUAUAUCUUUAUAGGCUUUUUCUAUUUAAAAAGUUUAAAAUUUUUUUUAACUUUUAGAAUAUUUUGGUAAAAAUGAACACACACACACACACACACGCACACACACACACACACUGAGCCUAGGUCUACACAGGGUCAGGAUCAUGAAUAUCCCUGGCUUGCCCCUCUACAUCUUGAUCCACUGGAACACCUUCAGGAGCAGUAACAGGCAUGGAGCUGUCAUCUCCUAGGAUAACAAUACCUUCUUCUGGAAGUCCUCCUGAAGGACCUGCCUGAGGCUCUUCUUGAGGAGAUGUCACUCUUUCCGCUGUCCCCUUUCCUCCAACCCAACGGCUUACUUUCAAGGAAGUAUUUGAGAAUGGGAAACCUAAAGUUGAUGUUUUAAAAAACCAUUUGGUAAAGGAAGGACGACUGGAAGAGGAAGUAGCCUUAAAGAUAAU